RNAcentral lists this ribosomal RNA (500 nucleotides) under uncultured bacterium. RNAcentral's name for it is "partial 16S ribosomal RNA". It matches the Rfam family "Bacterial small subunit ribosomal RNA", at positions 30 to 523 of the family's 1533-position model. The record is from RNAcentral.
AUUGAACGCUGGCGGAAUGCUUUACACAUGCAAGUCGAACGGCAGCACGGACUUCGGUCUGGUGGCGAGUGGCGAACGGGUGAGUAAUGUAUCGGAACGUGCCCAGGCGUGGGGGAUAACGCAGUGAAAAUUACGCUAAUACCGCAUACGAUCCAUGGAUGAAAGCGGGGGAUCGCAAGACCUCGCGCGAUUGGAGCGGCCGAUAUCAGAUUAGGUAGUUGGUGGGGUAAAGGCCCACCAAGCCAACGAUCUGUAGCUGGUCUGAGAGGACGACCAGCCACACUGGAACUGAGACACGGUCCAGACUCCUACGGGAGGCAGCAGUGGGGAAUUUUGGACAAUGGGCGAAAGCCUGAUCCAGCCAUUCCGCGUGCAGGAUGAAGGCCCUCGGGUUGUAAACUGCUUUUGUACAGAACGAAAAGGUUUCUACUAAUACUAGGAGCUCAUGACGGUACUGUAAGAAUAAGCACCGGCUAACUACGUGCCAGCAGCCGCAGUAA